RNAcentral lists this transfer RNA (71 nucleotides) under Loxodonta africana (African savanna elephant). It matches the Rfam family "tRNA". From Rfam's summary of the family: Transfer RNA (tRNA) molecules are approximately 80 nucleotides in length. Their secondary structure includes four short double-helical elements and three loops (D, anti-codon, and T loops). The record is from Rfam by way of RNAcentral. Lineage: Eukaryota; Metazoa; Chordata; Mammalia; Proboscidea; Elephantidae.
GCAUUGGUGGCUCAGUGGUAGAAUUCUCCUCUUCCAUGCAGGAGACCUGGGUUCAAUUCCCAGUCAAUGCA